GACGAACGCUGGCGGCGUGCUUAACACAUGCAAGUCGAACGGGAUCUGACUGGCAGCUUGCUGUCGGAUAGAUCUAGUGGCGAACGGGUGAGUAACACGUGGGCAACCUGCCCCGGAGAUCGGGAUAACACGGGGAAACCCGUGCUAAUACUGGAUAUUCUGCCUUUCCCGCAUGGCAUCGGUAGAAAAAGGUAAGCUUGCUUUCCGCUCCGGGAUGGGCCCGCGUCCCAUUAGCUUGUCGGUGAGGUAACGGCUCACCGAGGCAACGAUGGGUAGCCGGCCUGAGAGGGUGAACGGCCACACUGGGACUGAGAUACGGCCCAGACUCCUACGGGAGGCAG
Molecule: ribosomal RNA, 341 nt
Filed under: uncultured Actinomycetes bacterium
Lineage: Bacteria; Bacillati; Actinomycetota; Actinomycetes
Description: bacterial SSU rRNA
Rfam family: Bacterial small subunit ribosomal RNA
Source: RNAcentral